CCCAAGCACACGCUUCUCAGCGGGACUUUGUAAUACUAUGUGCACUCCCUCAUGUGUUACUAUUAUACCCAACAGGAAACAGAAUUGGACAUACUGGUUAAUGCUUCAACCAAAUUUACUCGCUCAAGAACAUUUCCAUAGUUUUUCUGCUUUGUUCUUUUUUAACAAUUAAUUACUGUAAUUAUUUCCUGAUAUCUGGGAUACAUACGACCUGUCCUGUGUAAGUGGAGGAGAGUAAAACGCAUUUGGAUUGAGACAUGGAGCAGCUCUUUUUUCUUCUCAUUCCCCUGUUUGCAUCUUCAUCCAUAAUCUCAGCAGGAAAUGACACAAGCAUACAAACUACGUUACCUCCAAACACAAAUGCUACAUCUCCAUGGUCUGUUGAUUCAAGAACAGAAGUCCAAACUGAAAAAACAAUGACUUCUGCUUUUUCAUCUCAAUAUGAGAAUGGCAAGACCAGCCACACCUCAAAAACUGUGAGCAUAACCACAGCUCCUGUAUCUUCUAGCCACACAGGACAGUCCAUCAAUACCAGCUCCAAGUUAACAACACCAAAAUCCUACACUGACACAACUCUAAAUUCCACCUCAUCCCCAGCAGCCAAAAUAACAGGUUUUACCUCCUUCUUCUGGCUUUCGCCCCCCCAAAAUUCUUAUUUGCCAAAAUAUGAACAGUAAGUAUCAUUAUAAAUGUAAAUGGACAAGAUAUAGCUGAGUUUUGGGGAUCAAAAUCAGUGGAAGUGGAUGACAGUCAUGUAACCUGUACCAUUGUUUGCUCAGGCAGUACUGAUGGAUCUGGCCUCUCUUCGCAUAACACAUCAGGUAGUAAUUAUUAACUGCUGGUAAAAGAAUAGCUCACCCAAAAAUGAACAUUUGCUGAAAUAUACUCACCCUCGC
RNAcentral lists this long non-coding RNA (896 nucleotides) under Sinocyclocheilus anshuiensis. RNAcentral's name for it is "lncRNA (ENSSANG00000021017.1)". Lineage: Eukaryota; Metazoa; Chordata; Actinopteri; Cypriniformes; Cyprinidae. The record is from RNAcentral.